Molecule: ribosomal RNA, 254 nt
Filed under: uncultured bacterium
Lineage: Bacteria
Description: partial 16S ribosomal RNA
Rfam family: Bacterial small subunit ribosomal RNA
Source: RNAcentral
UACGUAGGGGGCAAGCGUUGUCCGGAUUUAUUGGGCGUAAAGAGCGUGUAGGCGGCUAGAUAGGUCCGUUGUGAAAAACUCGAGGCUCAACCUCGAGACGUCGAUGGAAACCAUCUGGCUAGAGUCCGGAAGAGGAGAGUGGAAUUCCUGGUGUAGCGGUGAAGUGCGCAGAUAUCAGGAAGAACACCCGUGGCGAAGGCGGCUCUCUGGUACGUGACUGACGCUGAGACGCGAAAGCGUGGGGAGCAAACAGG